GCUGCGACAGCUGACCCCAACUGACCAAAGGGAUAUUCCAUACCAUAUGAUGUCAUGCUCAGCAUAUAAAGCUGGGGAAGAAGAAGGAAGUGGGGGACAUUUAGAGUGAUGGCGUUUGUCUUCCCAAGUAGCUGUUACACUUGAUGGAGCCCUGCUGUCCUGGAGAUGGCUGAACACCUGCCUGCCGACGGGAAGUAGUGAAUUAAUUUCUUGUUUUGCUUUGCUUGCACGUGUGGCUUUUGCUUUACCUAUUGAACCGUCUUUGUCACAACCCAUGAGUUUCCUCACUUUUAUUCUUCUCAUUCUCUCCCCUAUCCCAGUGUGAGGGGAGUGAGCAAGCAGCUGCAUGGGGCUUGGCUGCUGACUGGGGCUAAACCACGACAGUAUUUAAACACAUCAACUUUUAAUCUACCACAGCAGUCGUCUGAAACAGUAAGUGGAUAUAACUUGAGUCAACACUUGAUUGGCCAGUGGAGGUGUAUUAAUAGUUAACAUAAACACUAACUUAAAUGGGAGGUGUGGACCUGGUGGGGAGACACUCGAGAGAACAGAACUAUUUGUUUUUUGGGCACAAAGUGGAUUUUCCUGCUUUAUAAGCUACUUAGAGAGAAAAACUCUCCCUUUUAAUAGGAGCGUGGUGCUUACAGUUUUUAUUUUAAAUAACUUCUAUUUCUAUGGAAAGAUGCAUAUCUUCAGCUCUCUUAGAGGGAAAAUGGGAAAUUGUAGAGGUGGCUUGAUUACAGCUGAAGUAUUUUGAAAGGGAAAUUCAAAUUUUAACUACUCAGCAAUGGCAAUUUGUGACUUAGGAAAGAUCUGGCACAGAGAGCAAGGAAGGCCUGACUGCUGAACGGGUUAAGCCAUCAGGGAGCAGGAACACUAGAAACAGAAUGACUCCAUCCAACUGAGGAAACUCUCCCUUGCUGAUAAGAUAAGAAAUACCAUAGUAACUGUUGUGUAACAAUUGAUCCAGCAUAAGAGGGCUUAGCAGCCACCUUUGGCCAGCAGAGCUGACAGAAUUUUGUCGGUUAAGUUUGUCUGCCAACUGUUUUCCUAAUAAUCAAAUUCUAGUACUUUCCCUACACUAAUAAUUUGCAUUUCCGUAACUCGUAUGGAAAUUAAAUACUUGGCGCUACCUUAUCCACUCUGUUGUGUUUUAUAGCAUCUUGCACUUCUUGCGUGUUUUAAUUGCAUGAAAAGUUCGUUAGGCAGUAAUGACAAAGGAAUUUUACAACACUAGUGGCACAUUCUCCUUUCAUGACUGCAACGAAUACAUAUGAACUAGAUAGGAAACCUUGGCAGAAACAAAAGUGACAUUAGUUUAUACCUGUAUUAUACAAAAUUAUCAACAUGAAUGAAGUAACACAGCUGGGCAGCAGCUUCAUUCUCAUCUUUUUCUCUGGUAUUCAUUGUGCCUUUUAUUUAAACAAAAAGUGUGGUUUUUCUUACUAAAUAACCUGUUUCAGAUAGUUAAGCAACUUCUUACCACCAUUCUGUCAUUGUUUUCUCUUCCUAUACAAAACAGGCCACUCCUUCCUCAUCCCGUCUCCCCACACAUCUGUUAUUGCAAAAUCCUCCUAUGCCACUGUGCAGUUUUAGAAGUGUUUAGUAUUUUUGCUGGGGGAAAACACACAUUUGUUUCCCUCCUCCUCAUUGUUUUUUCCUUCAAAAAGGCAUAAGCUGGGCCUAGAAUUCAGAGCAGCUGUGGAUGCCUCCAUUUCUCAGCCUAGAGACAAUCACACAGUGUCAGAGAGCAACAACGGCUGGCAGCUCCACAAGCGACAAGCAGCGGGGACCUGGGGGGGAGAAGACAGCUGGCAGGUGUCCAUGAGUCAGGGGUUGACACAGAAGUUGGAAGCUCUGACGUUAAAAGAUCUCCCCCUCUUUGCCUCCUCAGAGCACAGAGGGCAGCAAGACAGAGGCAGCUUGAUUGUCUAAGGAACUGGAUAGCCACGCAUGUUCUACAGAUUCACAGUUGUCUGCACCUCUGGAGAUGGACCAUACCCAUAAAUGAUUACAUGAGCAUGAACUCAGUUAUAUCAUGCUUGCAAACCCAAAGCAUGGAUCACCUGAAGCAAGUAAUCACUUAGAACACGAUCUACUCUUCCUUAAAGCUGAAAGGCUGAUUUCUGGCAGCAAGAGAAUGGCUACAGGCAAAGUCCAGAAAUAUAAAGGAUACUUCCUCCAAUUCAUUACUAUCUGCACUUUCUUAUGCACAACUCUGUUUUAGUUGACGCAAAAUGGGUGUCUUCAUCCUUCCUAAUAGGCUUAUCUGACUUGUUCUCACAUCUGAGAUCCCCUGAGAAACUUUGAUUCUUUUCUUUUUUCUCUACGCGCCCCCUAAGGAAAGGUCUCUUACAUUUUCAGACUUUCAUAAACAAAUGUUCAUAGUAAUAGAUCACAGCUAGGGAAAUACCACAACAACCAUUACUGAUUUCAGAAGAAAAAAAUAAUGCAUUUUACCAGUGUCAUCACUUACAUACCUAGCACAACCUGACAUCUAAAGCAGGAACUAACUUGUUGAAGAUUUCAUUUUGGUUUUUCUCUCCCAGAUUACAAAACAAGAGGCUUGGACAUAAUGAGCAUUUAAUGAGCUCUUCGGUACUCAUGUUUGAGUGUUGUAUCACAAAAGCAUGUUACCUUAUAAUGAAAUACUGCAAUGAGGAAGUAGUCCUAUUUGUCCCCUGCAAUUUGCCUCUAUAACGAUAAUAAUGACAAUCUGCAAUAUAGUGAUAAUUGCUUUUUCCUUCCUCCUGUGCUCAUGGUUCACUUUCUAUCCUGUUGCCUAUGAGGAGGAGAGCAAUUCCAAUCAAUUUUCCCAUUUAAACUGAUGCUAUCAAUGAAGAGAACCAUUUGGUAGAUGUAAGCAACACUUAUUGAUGCUUCCUUUAUAAAAUAUUUACAGUGAAAUUCUGGACGUGACCCUGGAGGAAAAUUGUAUAGAUCCAAGUGAUUGCCAGGACUAAAACUAAUAAAAAAGUCUUGCAACAGUCUUCCUGUUUCUGGGGGAUAACAGGAAAAGGAGUCAAAUUCAGGAAAGGGCAUGUGCCUUCUUUUUGAGCUCCAAAAGCUGCCACUGCAAAUGAGCUGCUUCUGCUCUCACCUUUGCAUUAGGUAACAUUUAAUUACUUUAUCUCUCAGGCAACUACUCAUGAAAUUAUGUUUCUGCAGAAAUUAAAGCACCUUCUUUGCCAGUCAUAACGUUGAGCUUAUUUACAUUAAAUGUGGAAUGAAGUCCUUAAAAAGUCAUAUACUCCACCUUCCUCUGCAAUGAGCAGAGACAUCUUCAACUAGAUCAGGUUGCUCAGAGCCCCAUCCAACCUGACCUUGAAUGCUUCCAGGGGUGGGGCAUUGACCACCCCUCUGGGCAAACUGGGCCAGUGUUUCACCACCCUCCUUGAAAAAAUUUCUUCCUUAUACCUGGUCUGAAUCUCCCUUCUUUUAGAUUAAAAUUACUACACCUUGUCCUGUCACAAAAGGCCUUGCUAAAAGGUCUGUUCCCAUCUUCCUUAUAAGACCACCUUCAGUAUUGAAAAGGCCGCAAUAACAUCUCCACACUGCCUUAUCUUCUCCAGGCUGAACAACCCCAACUCUCCCAGCCUGACCUCACAGCAGAGGGGCUCCAGCCUCUGACCUCCUGGUUCCCUGACCUCUGGACCUGCUCCAACAGGUCUGUGUCUCUCCUGUGCCGAGGACUCCAGAGCUGGAAGCAGUGCCCCAGGUGGGGUCUCACCAGAGCUGGGUAGAGCAAAGAAUCCCCUCCCUCACCCUGCUGGCCACGCUCCUUUUGACGCAGCCUUCUGUGCUGCAAGCACACGUUGUUGGCUCAUGUCCAGUUUUUCAUCCACCAGUACCCCCAAGUUCUCUCAAUCGUCCCCCAGCCUGUAUUGACUCCAGAGGUUGCCCUGACCCAGGUGCAGGACCUUGCACUUAGCCUUGUUGAAUAUCAUGAAGUUCACAUGGGCCCACUUCUCCAGCUUGCUCAGGUCCCUAUGAAUGGCAUCCCACCCCUCAGGCACGUCAACCACACCGCUCAGCUUGGUGUCAUCUGCAAACCUGCUGAGGGUGCACUCAAACCCACUGUCUACGUCACUGAUGAAGAUAUUAAACAGUACGGGUCCCAGUACGGACCCCUGAGGGACACCACUCAUCACCGGUCUCCACCUGGACAUCGAGCCAUUGACCAUGACCCUCUGGAUGUGACCAUCCAGCCAGUUCCUAUCCACCAAACAGUCCACCCAUCAAAUCCGUAUCUCUCCAGUUCAGAGAGAAGGAUAUUGUGGGGGACCGUGUCAAAGGCCUUACCGAGAUCCAGAUAGAUGACAUCCAUAGGUCUUCCCUUGCCCACUGGUGUAGUCACUCCAACUCAGAAGGCCACUGGGUUGGUCAGGCAGGACUUGCCCUUGCUGAAGCCAUGCUGGCUGCCUCAGAUCACCUCCCUGUCCCCCGUGUACCUUAGCAUAGCUUCUAGAAGGAUCUGUUCCAUGAUCUUCCCAUGCACAGAGGUGAGGCUGACACACCGGUAGUUCCCAGGGUCCUCCUUUCUAUCCUUUUCAAAAAAGGGGUGCAAUGUUUCCCUUCUUCCAGUCCCCAGGGGCUUCACCUGACUGCCAUGACUUUUCAAACGUCAUGGGGAGUGGCUUGGCAAUGACAUCAGCCAAUUCCCUCAGGACUCUUGGCUGCAGCUCAUCAGGUCCCAUAGACUUCUGUAUGUUCAGGUUCCUCAGCUGGUCAUGAACCUGAUCUUCCCUUGUAGUGGAAGGGACUUCACUUCUCCCAGUCCCUGUCUUGUGGUCCAUCCACUCGCGAUGUGUAGGAAGAGGGAUUGCCAGUGAAGACUGAGGCAAAAACGUUGUUGAGUACCUCAGCCUUCUCAUCGGUUGCUACCAGUUUGCCAGUCAUGUUCAUUUGGGGAAUACGCUGUCUUUGACCUUCCUUUUCUGGCUGACAUACCUGUAGAAGCCCUUAUUAUUCUCUGUGUGCCUUGCUGAGUUCAGCUUAAGCUGCGCCUUGGCCUUCCUGACCCCAUCCCUACACAACUGGCCAAUGUCCCUGUACUCUUCCCAGGACACCUGUCCAUGUUUCCACUGCCUAUGCAUGUCCUUCUUGCCCUUUAGUUUGACCAGCAGGCCUUGACUUAUCCAUGCUGGUCUCUUGCCUUCCUUUCCCAAUUUCUUACAGAUGGGGAUCUAGAGAAAAAUGAUACAUGUAAUUAGACAAGUUAUCAAAGAUGAUGGACACUGGUCAACAUUUCCACAAUGGAUCUUUUCCAGGAGAAAGUUCUACUGAACAUCUGGAUUGCCAGGCUAUUCCUGUGAGCUGUGGUCAGCAUUUCAAGGUUCUGACUGAACCUCAAUUUCACCACUGAAAUCAGAAAGGAAAUUUCAGAUUUUAAUACCAGAAGAUAUUAUUACAUGUGUCUACCCUGAUAUACUGUAUAAUGCAUGGCAGAUAAUUUUAUUAGUGGAUGAAAUAUUUUUUCCUGUUAAUUUCAAUGGGUGGAGUGGAGAAUCCAAGUUUAAAUAUAAGUGCAAAGAAACUUACCUUGCUAUCCUAGUCAACCUGUAAGUUUGGCAGUGAUAAAAUAAAUUUCUUAGGAAAACAAUAGGAUAGGUUCGUCUCUCCUUUGGACUUUCCAAAUCCCACUUGAAAGAACUGAAAAUUUGCACGGUUUUUCAAUCUUCUGUUAGAAAUUUGGAUUCUCUAGUAUUUAUACUAUUAAAUGGCUACACAGUGUGCACUAUGAACUCUGUUCAACUGUAUUACCAUUCAUUCACAAAUAAAACAUGCUUGCUGCCUUUGAGCUAAA
Non-coding RNA from Phalacrocorax carbo (great cormorant), 5806 nucleotides. Lineage: Eukaryota; Metazoa; Chordata; Aves; Suliformes; Phalacrocoracidae. The record is from RefSeq and is a predicted model, not a curated record.